GGAAUAUUGGACAAUGGGGGCAACCCUGAUCCAGCGAUGCCGCGUGUGCGAAGAAGGCCUGCGGGUUGUAAAGCACUUUGGGUAGGGAAGAAAUGCGCAGUUUAAAUAGAGCUGCGAGUUGACGUUACCUACAGAACAAGCACCGGCUAACUCUGUGCCAGCAGCCGCGGUAAUACAGAGGGUGCAAGCGUUAAUCGGAAUUACUGGGCGUAAAGGGCGCGUAGGCGGAUGAAUAAGUUAGGUGUGAAAUCCCCGGGCUUAACCUGGGAAUGGCAUUUAAUACUGUUUAUCUGGAGUAGAGUAGAGGGAAGUGGAAUUUCCGGUGUAGCGGUGAAAUGCGUAGAGAUCGGAAAGAACACCAGUGGCGAAGGCGGCUUCCUGGACUCAUACUGACGCUGAGGCGCGAAAGCGUGGGUAGCAAA
RNAcentral lists this ribosomal RNA (422 nucleotides) under uncultured bacterium. RNAcentral describes it as "bacterial SSU rRNA". It matches the Rfam family "Bacterial small subunit ribosomal RNA", at positions 358 to 772 of the family's 1533-position model. The record is from RNAcentral.